RNAcentral lists this ribosomal RNA (575 nucleotides) under uncultured Burkholderia sp. Its description in RNAcentral is "bacterial SSU rRNA". It matches the Rfam family "Bacterial small subunit ribosomal RNA", at positions 773 to 1353 of the family's 1533-position model. The record is from RNAcentral. Lineage: Bacteria; Pseudomonadati; Pseudomonadota; Betaproteobacteria; Burkholderiales; Burkholderiaceae.
CAGGAUUAGAUACCCUGGUAGUCCACGCCCUAAACGAUGUCAACUAGUUGUCGGGUCUUCAUUGACUUGGUAACGUAGCUAACGCGUGAAGUUGACCGCCUGGGGAGUACGGUCGCAAGAUUAAAACUCAAAGGAAUUGACGGGGACCCGCACAAGCGGUGGAUGAUGUGGAUUAAUUCGAUGCAACGCGAAAAACCUUACCUACCCUUGACAUGUAUGGAAUCCUGCUGAGAGGUGGGAGUGCCCGAAAGGGAGCCAUAACACAGGUGCUGCAUGGCUGUCGUCAGCUCGUGUCGUGAGAUGUUGGGUUAAGUCCCGCAACGAGCGCAACCCUUGUCCCUAGUUGCUACGCAAGAGCACUCUAGGGAGACUGCCGGUGACAAACCGGAGGAAGGUGGGGAUGACGUCAAGUCCUCAUGGCCCUUAUGGGUAGGGCUUCACACGUCAUACAAUGGCCGGAACAGAGGGUCGCCAACCCGCGAGGGGGAGCCAAUCCCAGAAAACCGAUCGUAGUCCGGAUCGCACUCUGCAACUCGAGUGCGUGAAGCUGGAAUCGCUAGUAAUCGCGGAUCAGC